CUUGAAGUGAUGAGGCUCGAGCAUGUAAGAAGAGCCAUUCAUGUGGUUUCUUCAAUGAAAUACUCUUGUUUUGCUUAGCUUGUGAGAGCAUU
RNAcentral lists this small nucleolar RNA (92 nucleotides) under Cephalotus follicularis. Its description in RNAcentral is "Small nucleolar RNA R24". It matches the Rfam family "Small nucleolar RNA R24". Rfam says of the family: snoR24 is a C/D box small nucleolar RNA which acts as a methylation guide for 18S ribosomal RNA in plants. The record is from Rfam by way of RNAcentral. Lineage: Eukaryota; Viridiplantae; Streptophyta; Magnoliopsida; Oxalidales; Cephalotaceae.